GGAACAUGGCGGACCAGAUCCCGCUUUACCCGGUGCGUAGCGCAGCGGCGGCCGCAGCCAACCGCAAACGCGCGGCCUACUACAGCGCCGCGGGGCCCAGGCCGGGAGCCGACCGGCACAGCAG
RNAcentral lists this unclassified non-coding RNA (124 nucleotides) under Homo sapiens (human). RNAcentral describes it as "ATPase phospholipid transporting 9B (putative) (ENSG00000274273.1)". The record is from RNAcentral. Lineage: Eukaryota; Metazoa; Chordata; Mammalia; Primates; Hominidae.